Molecule: long non-coding RNA, 20152 nt
Filed under: Octopus vulgaris (common octopus)
Lineage: Eukaryota; Metazoa; Mollusca; Cephalopoda; Octopoda; Octopodidae
Source: RNAcentral
CUGAAGGUGCACCUUUGAAUAGUGAAGGGGGGUGAGUGUCAUCCAGUACAUCCACUAGGCGACGGGUAUGAUAAUGUAGUGCCAAAGGACUGGGUUGCUAUUUGCCAUUAUGGUUUUCAGUAUAGAUUGGCCUUGUUGCUCCAGGCUGAGUAGAGACUUAACAGCAACAUUUCCAUCUAGUGGUCGAGAGAGAAACGAGUACCCCAAGGCAGUCGUUCAAUCAGUGAGAAAUGGCAAACAAACUCUCCCUCAAAUAAUACCCUAUUGUUUGCAGUCAUAGAUGUAAAAAAAAAAAAUGGAAAAAAAAAAAAGGACAGUUACAGCUGGAAUACCUUCAUCAUGUGACUGGCUGAUUGACUCAUCUGGAACCAAGCAAUAACAACAGCCUGGAGAUGUGUAUGGUUCUUCCUAGAAAACAGUCUCUAUAUUCAUUAACAUGUACGAGUCGUGGAAAGGGUAUCGGAAUUUAUACACUUUAUAUAUAUCCAUCUUAAACAUGUGCAUUUGUUUGUGUAUAUCAAAUUCGAAAUAUUAAGAAAGAAAGAAAGAAAGAAAGAAAGAAAGAAAGAAAGAAAGAAAGAAAGAAAGAGAGAGAAAGAAAGAAAGAAAGAAAGAAAGAGAGAGAGAGAGAGAGAGAGAAAGAAAGAAAGAAAGAAAGAUAGAAAGAAAGAAAGAAAGAAAGAAAGAAAGAAAGAAAGAAAGAAAGAAAGGUAGGUCGUGGUAAAAAGCAGAAACGAGAAUUUGGAUUUUGUUAUUAACGAGUACUCGUGUGUGUAUAUAGAUACACACACAUGUAUCUAUCUAUCUAUUUAUCUAUCUGUCUGUUUGCCUGUCUAUCAGUCUGUCUGUCUGUCUCUGUCUCUUUGUUUGUCUGUCUGCCUGCUCUCUGUCUAUUGUGUGUUAUUUCUCGGUCACUAAUAUACUCCAAGUGAUAAUGCGUACCACACCCUAUACUUCAGCAAGAUAUAUUUUAGAAAGAGGUGGGGUUGCUUCUGAUGGUUUAUGAACACAUCAAAACAAUUUUUUUUUUUAUGAAAAACAUUUAAUUCAUGACGAAAAAGUUGUGCAUUAACAAAAUUUAAUACACCGCUGACAAACGCGCUCACUAUAGAAUGACAGCAAGGCUUGUUUACAUUGCAACUAACUGUGCAGACAUUUCAGAGAUAUUGCCAAAUGCCGAGUACCUAUGCACCUCACCGAUCAUAUACAGUGUGGUGGGUAGAUCAGUGGUCCACCCACCCACGAGUCCAUUGUAUCUGAGGGUGAGUGUGCGUGGGAAAGAAAAAGAAUCAACAAAACUAAAGAGAGUUUUCUCACCACUCUGCUUUAAAACUAAUCUUUAAUUUGAUAUACGUUUCUCUCUGUCGUGUUGCAUAUAGUUGAAAAGUGAGUGUUUGCUUUAUUGAUUAUUAAAUACACAGUCUAUAAAGCACUUUGUAGAAGGGGCGUGGCUUAAUGAUUUCGUGGUGAUAGUCUCCUGAUCGCACGGUCGUUGAUUCGAUUCUUCGACCAGGUAGCGUGUUCCAACCUUGGUGCUGCUCUCUAUAUCCACUCACGACUGCACGGGCAUAAUCCAAUACUGAAACACAUUUUGUUUUAAAGUGAUCUAAAUAAAAAACCUUCCAUCAAAAUUUCAUGUUAAUUUGUUUCCAACACCAGCUUAAUGUCAAAGUUUUUUUUCUACAUGAUUCGUCAUUAAUUUCAAAAUUAUAUGAAACGAAAUCAACGUAUUUAACUGAAGUAUAAUAACGAACACAAUACUAUUGAAUACAUUAUUAUAACCACUGUCGUUUACACCACACCCAUCGUUGCAUCAUUAAUUCAUUAUAUAUAUAGAUAUAUACAUAUAUAUAUACAUACAUACACACACACUCAUAUAUAUAUAUACAUAUAUACAUACAUAUAUAUAUAUAUAUAUACUCACACAUAUAUAUAUAUUGCAAACCAAAUCCAAAAACGAAAUAUAUAUAUAUAUAUAUAUAUAUAUAAUGUUUUGACUAUUAUUUUUCUUCGCACUGUUGCUCAUAACAUAUCUCUUCUAUAGUAGUUAAUAAUUUCUGCUGUUUUUUUUUUUUUUUCAGCCAUACACUGCUCUUCUUGCAUAGAACACCAGAGUUGUUGACUAACUUCCAGUUGUGACUACAAUGUUAAACCACCGAAGAUAACUGCUUGUUAAGUUUUAUGCACAUAUAUUUUAUCUUUGAAUUACAUUUUAUUACAUCUAUUUUUACAGGAAGAAAAGAAAGAAAAAAAUUAAAAGCAUAAAAGAUCAAAUUAUCGAUAAAAAAAAAAUCCAUAAUUACCUUGGUUGUCAAGCAGGGGGAAGGACAAACAUAAACACAAAGACACAAACAUACACCCCCCACACACACACACACAGCAGGCUUUUUUCAAUUUCCAUCUAUUGAAUCCACUUACAAGGAUUUGGUGGACACGAGGCUAUGGUAGACUAGCUUAAAAGCCUGUUGAGUUGCUUUUAAGCUAAUAUACAGCUUUAAGCAGCUGCCCCUGAAUAGGAAGAUCUGCGAACAGAUCUCUGACUUGUUAUGGAGAAUUUGUUGCAAUUCCUUCUUCCAGAGUCAUAUCCCAAUGAUGAUCGUAUUCAUUGCAAAAAAUCAUUUUAAAAAAUCGCCAAAAACAAUCGCAGUAAUGAAAACAUAGGAAUCCAAAAUUUCAGGAUUGCAGGUCCAGAUUCGGCCCAAAAUGUUUUUAAUUUGCUCAUAGAGUUAGCUUUUAUAUUAUAAAAAUUGUUAUCAUACAAAAAAAUUUGUCACAAAAAGUCAUGUACAAAAAUCACCAAAAACAAUCAUAGUAAUGAAAAAUUGGGAAUCCAAAAUUUCAGGAUUGUGGGUCCAGAUUCAUCCCGAAAUACUUUUGACUCCAAAAUGGUAUAUGUUGUGCUAGGAGUAAAGUUGAAAAAGUGUAACACACUGACAUUCACUGUAUUAUAUUAUACUAGCAGGAUAGCCCAGCAUUGCUCAGGUUUGUUUUUUAGUUGCACUUAAAAUGGCAGACUUUGAUGUCGUGUUAACAAAGUUUUGACAUAGUUUUAAUCUUUUUUGAAAAGUAAAAAUUUUGCAUUAUGUAACUUGUUAUUCUCUUUAAGUGAACAUUUUCCUGGUUGAAAUACACUGAAAAAUGGCAACACAGCAGUCAAAAAAUCGUAAAAAAUAGGGAUUUUCAUAGAAAAAAAGCACUUUUUCGAUGUAAAUAAUUUUUGGUCUUAAUAUGGUCCGAUUUGAAUUUUUUCUUCUAUGGAAUGAAGAGCAAGCCUUCUUCUAGUAUACUCUUAAUUUUGGUCAACUUGCACCACAGGGUCUCAGAGGAGAUAGUGCUAGUUGAAGGCUACCAAACCUGCCACACACACACACAGACAACUCAGCUUUAUAUGUAUAGAUUAUUAUAUUUUACUAAGGCAGCAAGCUGGCAGAAUCGUUAGUAAGCCAGACAAAUGUUUAGCGGUAUUUCAUCUGCUGUUAGUUUCUGAGUUCGAAUUCUGCCAAGAUCAACUUUGCCUUUCAUCUUUUCGGGGUCAAUAAAAUUAGUACCAGUUACAUACUGGACUCGAUGUAAUUGACUUGUGCUUCCAGUAGAAAGGACUUAUUAAAGUUGAAAAAGUGUGACAAACUGGCAUUGUUGAAUAUUUUCUUAAAUACUUUCUUGUAAACUGUUUUUAACAUUUUCUUAUUCAUCAUCAUCAUCAUCAUCAUUUAACGUCCGCUUUCCAUGCUAGCAUGGGUUGGAUGGUUCAGCUGGGGUCUGGGGAGCCCGAAGGCUACACCAGGCCAGUCAGAUCUGGCAGUGUUUCUACAGCUAGAUGCCCUUCCUAACGCCAACCACUCCGAGAGUGUAGUGGGUGAUUUUAUGUGCCACCGACACAGGUGCCAGACGAGGCUGGCGAACGGCCACGCUCGGAUGGUGUUUUUUUUGUGCCACCGACACAGGUGCCAGACGAGGCUGGCAGACGGUCACGCUCGGAUGGUGUUUUUAUGUGCCACCGACACAGGUGCCAGAUGAGGCUGGUGAACGGCCACGAUCGGAUGGUGUUUGUUACGUGCCCACAGCACGGAGGCCAGUCGAUGCGGUACUAGCUACAGCCACGUUCGGAUGGUUUUCUUGUGUGCCACCGGCACUGGUACCACAAAGAUACAAAUUCCAUUGAUGUUCAUCUAUUUUGGCUUGUUUUGAUUUGAUUUAAUUUUCACUUGCCUCAACAGGUCUUCACAAGUGUCACAAGAAGGAAGGUAUGCACAGGUGGACUGACUACGUCCCAGGUAGGGCCCACGGGUUAUGGCCUGACUAGUCUUGCCGGGUCUUCGGAUGGUGUUUUUAUGUGCCACCGACACAGGUGCCAGAUGAGGCUGGCGAACGGCCACGAUCGGAUGGUGUUUGUUAUGUGCCCACAGCACAGAGGCCAGUCGAUGCAGUACUGGCUACAGCCACGUUCGGAUGGUUUUCCUGUGUGCCACCAGCACUGGUACCACAAAGAUACAAAUUCCAUUGAUGUUCAUCUAUUUUGAUUUCUUUUGAUCAAAGAAUAUAUAUAUGUAUUCUAAUACUUUUGUGACAACAAGUACUUAACACAACAAAGCUUAUACAAAGCUUUUACAUUUUACUUUCGACAAUCUUUAUCUAAAAAAGUGAAACCAGUCAAGUGAAUAGACAUCUUUAAAAUUACAUUUUCAAACCUUCUUUCAUAUAUAUUUCCACUCAUGCAGUACCUUACAACUUCACUUUGUUAUAUAUAUAUAUAUUCAUAUAUUGUCAGUAAAUCAUAAAUUUAAAAGAAGUCACAUUCUAAGUUAUAGAGCAGUUGAAUACCUAGAGAAAGAUAAUUAUGGGUGGUUCAUAUAAGCUCUCUUCAAUAAAGAGAGUUUAUAGGACACUAACCUUUGGGGUUUGACAAGCUGUAUGUAAGCAAAGUGCUUUAUGGACGCAAAACUUUAGGUAAUGUAAUGAACCAGCCAUAACUAUCUUUCUCCCCUCUCUUUCUCUCUCUCUAUAUAUAUGUGUGUGUGUGUCUGUGCGUGUGUGUGUAUAUAUAUAUAUAUAUACAUACACGGAUAUACAUAUAUAUAUAUAUAUAUAUAUAUAUAUAUAUAUAUAGGUACAAAGUAAGUUAAGGGUUAUGGGUGUAACCCACUAAGGGAUAGUAUUUAUCCAAUAUACUGUUGGUAAAGAUGGUUAUAUAUAUAAGUACCCUAUUUUUAAAUGCCUACAACCUCAUUAUGUUGACAAUUAUAGGCAAUAAAAAUUUAAAUAACUACUUUUAGCCAUAGGCUGAAACAGCUGUAAGAAGUGAUUUUAAUGAUUUCAAUAAUUUAUAUUAUGAUUUUUAUAAUUUGUAUUCUUAUCUUAUAUGUAUUGAAUUAUAAGAUAUAUACGUAUGCUGUUAUGGUUCUCAUUUUGUUAAAUGAAUAAAUAAUCCAACAUUCUAAUAUAUGAAAGUUGAUGAACAAACUAAGUUUGUUUGUCCAUUUUCUUAUUUGUAUUAUAUAUAUAUAUAUAUAUAUAUAUAUAUAUAUAUAUAUAUAUAUAUAUAUAUAUAUAUAUAUAUAUAUAUAUAUAUAUAUAUAUAUAUAUAUAUAUAUAUAUACAUAUACGUAUAUAUUGUACAUGUGUGUAUAAAUAUGUAUGUAUACUGACACAUAUUAGUUGAAUUUUACAGAAUUAAUCCUAUAACAAUUCUAAAAGAAUUAUUCCAGAAACUGAGCCACAGUUAAUCAUCCUGGAAUAUUUUUAACUUUUCUUGGGGCACACAGGACGAGGAAGAAUAAAGACAGAUAAAAAUUUUUUUAGUUCACAUUGUUUUUAAUUUGGUAUGACACCCUUUUGACCUUGACGUGCAGAUAUUACCAGAUCAGCACUUUCUCACCUUAAGUUUUAACAAUAGACUGUUGCUUGACACUUAGAUACAUACAUACACACACAUAUGCAAUCACACACACACACUCACUCACAUACCACACAUACAUAUAGAUAAAUAUAUACAUACAUAUUACAAUGCUUCAAGUGGACUACAUCGGUCUGUUAUAUGUAUGUAUGUAUGUAUUUAUGUAUGUAUGUAUGCAACAGAGCAUUGUAGUUUGCUUAAAGUAUUGUGAUAUUAAAGGUAAAAAGUGAGAAAGUAGAAUGCACCUGACAAAGUGCAAAGUUUCAUAAAACCUUUUGUAUUCCUUUUAUAUUUAAGAAAACCUUUUAUAUAUCCAUAGGAUAUCAACUGGUAAAAUAUAUUUGUCUCAUACUUCCUGACUUUCUUUUUAUACUAAAUACAUACACGUAUACACACAUACAUACAUACAUACAUACAUAUAUAUAUAUAUAUAUAUAUAUAUAUAUAUACUCAAUAUAUAUAUAAUUAUCAAGUACUCACCCCGAAUUUCUAUACUCAAUAUAUAUAUAUACAUAUAUAUAUACUCACAUAUAUAUAUAUAUAUAUAUAUACACACACUCACGUACACACACUUGUACACACACAUGCACGCAUACACACACACACACACAUAUAAUUUAACAUGUAGGGUGUGGUUUGAUGAAGAUUUGGCUGCUAUUUUUAUAACAUCUUGAAAACAUGUUUGAUUAUAAGUCUACCAUCUGGGAAACAACAAAAAAACAGUCAGAAGCUGUGAACAUCAAACAAUAGCGUACAUGAUAACACAUCGAAACACACUUAUAUGAUAUUGUGUAUAUAUUUUGUGUGUGUGUCUGUGUUUGAUUACAAUAACUAACUAAAUACACAUAUGUGUAUAUUCUUUUAUUCUUUUAUUUGUUUCAGUCAUUUAACUGUGGCCAUGCUGGAAGUAAUUCUGUCAAACAAUUUCCUACCAGGACUUAUUUUUGAAGUCCUUGUACUUAUUCUAUCAGUUCCUUUGCCGAACUGCUAAGUUACGAGAACGUAAACAUACCUACACUAGCUGUCAAAUAAUGAUGGUGGGGGAGCACAAACAAAGACACAAAUACAUACACAAACACAUAACCAUAUAUCUUAUACAUAAAUGGCAAUUUCUGUCUGUCAAUCUGUCUGUUACUAUCUUGCUGCCCACACCAGUGAACCAAUCUUGACAAAACUUUACAUACAUGUUAAACUAACUUCUAGUUCAAUUAUAGGCUAACUGGAUUUCAAUAAAAACCUAUAAUGCAGCAGGGAUAUUAUUUUGAUAAAAUGAGAAGGGUGAAAGAGUGCUAGUGUGAGGGAAAUAUGGUAGCAUAGUAAGUGUGGCUAAUAUCAGGGCAGGGGAAAGCAGCAUUGUGUAAGCGACAAGUAUGGAGUGGCAGUGAGAUGAUAACAUUAAUACAGAUGUCAUUCAGGGAUAAACACACAACACUGCAUAUAUACUUUCGUAAAUACAUAGAUACAUGCAUGCACACACACACACACACACAAUGCACUAACACACACAUAUACACAUGCACAUAAGUAACUUUUAAAAUACCGAGGAAGGGAAAGAAAGGUGGGUGUGAGGAAUACAUAGUUUUAAGGAGAGAGGGAUUAAGUUGACAACAGUUGUCUACAGGUGACUUUUUUGCUGUCCAUCUCAAAGAAGCAUUCACACACAGACACAUACAUAUACAUAUACAUACGUACAUAAAUACAUACAUACAUGCAUACAUACUAUACACAAUUUUAAACUCAUCAUUACCUGUGUAUGUGUUUGUAAAUGUUUGUGUGUGUGUUUGUGUAUGUGUUUGCAUGCGUGUGUGUGUGUGUGAGAGAGAGAGAGAGAGAGACGUUCUAUAACUGUCUGUACUUUUGUAGAGUCUUCCCUGUUGCUGUCACAUAUUGUGAAAUUUCAAAAUUGCAUCAAAAUUUUCAAAUUUGAUAUACUGAAAUGAUUUUCCAUGUUAAAUCCAAUUUUGUUCAUUAUUUGUUCCAGAAAAAUUGCAAAGAAAUGUUACUGAGGUUUAAAGUUUAAUCAAUUUUAUCUAAUCAAAAAACAGGAUUUGGAAGCUGGCAUUUUCUGCGAUAGCUAUCACAAAAUGAAAGCAAAUUCAUUACGAGGAGGAAUUUUUAUUAAACAAACAAAAGCAAAGCAUUACGGUGACCAAAGUAGUAAGAACUUCUGAAGUUUUAGUAAGUUUUAAUGAAUAAAUUAUGUGAAACAGUUGAACAGACAUGCAAAUAAUUUUAAAAGAGAAAAAAUCCUCAAUGAAGUUUUUUUUUUUGCAAAAAAUUGCAAAUCUGUCCUGAUCAAGAAGCUUAUCUAUUGGGGGAAAAACAUGGUCUGACAUGGAAUAAACAUAACUUUAUAUAAGACAUUCUUUUGUAAAAAUUGCCCGGCAACAUGGACUAUUCAGCUAGCAUAUAUAUAUAUAUACAAACACACACACACACACACACACACACACACACAUAUAUAUAUAUAUAUAUAUAUAUAUACAUACUAAAAGUAAUUAAGUUUAUGUUCAGUCAUAGAGUGACAUAUACAUGUAUAUGUAUGAUGGGCUUCUUUCAGUUUCUGUCAAUCAAAUCCUUUCACAAGACUUUGGUCAACCCAAGGCUAUAGUAAAAGACACUUGUCCAAGGUGCCACGCAGUGAGACUGAACUUGGAAUAAUGUGGUUGGGAAGCAAGCUUCUUACCACAGAGUUACACCUGUGCCAGUAUGUACUUGUUAUAUUUUUCUAUAAAUCAAAGUCCCCUCUCCACUGGAGAUAAGGUUGGACAACUGUCAUGCUGAUGACAGUUAUUGAGCCAGAAACAAGUGUUCACUCUGCAACUGUCCUCUUGUCUCCGAACAAUAAACCUGUCCUUUUCUUUAAUGACCUCUCAUAUUUGGAGAAUUCUUGAUUCUUGAGAUUAUCUCCCCUUCUCAUAUGGAGCAGAUCUUAAUUGCUAUUUGGUGAUUGUGAUACAUCCCUUAGCAUUAGAUGUAGUUUUAAAAAAUCGAGAAUAUUCAAAUACACGGCACUAGCCACUUGGCAUUAUUUCUCUUAGUUCAUUUUUGUUUAAAUCAGGUGUGGCUGAGUGGUACGAAGUUUGUUUCCCAACCACAUGGUUCAAGGUUCAGUCCCGCUGUCUGGUACCUUGGGCAAGUGUUUUCUACUACAGGCUUAGGCUAACAAAAGUCUUGUGAGCAGAUUUGCUGGACAGAAAUUGAAAGGAACCCAUCGUGUGUGUGUGUGUGUGUUUGUGAGCAUGCACGUGCGUGUCUUUUUGUCUGUGUUUGUCCGCUACUAUCUCUUGACAACCAUUGUUGUUUGUUUGCAUCCUUGUAACUUAGCAGUUUGACAAAAAAACUCGAUAGAAUAAGUACCAGGCUUUGAAAUAAGUACUGGAGUUGAUCUCAACUAAAAUUCUCCAAGAUGGUGCUCCAGCAUGGCUACAGUCUAAUGACUGAAACUAGUAAAGGAUAAAAGAUAUAAACAUACAUACAAGGACAAAACAGAUGAAGAGAAGCAGAUAUGGAAAUGCAGACACAGACACAUUAACAUGUAACAUGUGUACAAGUGUGAGUUCAGUUUUUCUUUGUGAGUUUUGCUUCUCUUCUGUGAAUUAUUAGUAUCAGUUAGUGAUUGAGAAAACAGAUCAAUUAUUGCAGUACACUGCCCUUGAAUGUGAUUAUGAAUCUGUAUGCAUCUGUGUCUUUGUUUAAGCAUGUGUGUGUGUGUGUGUGCGCACGCACAUGUGUAUGUAUAUGAGAUGUAUGCACAGGUAAAUAUACAUAAACACUUGAAAGGUUAGUUUCAUCAAUUAGUUGAGAUGUGCUAUCAUUAAAGAUGCUGUUAAAGGCAAAAAUUACAUAUAUUUACUUCUGUACAUAUACUUUACAAAUGGAAGGUGGCCUGGAUGGAAAAAUAAUUAUUUCAAUAUAUGUACAUAUAUAUAUAUAUAUAUAUAUAUAUAUAUAUAUAUAUGGGUAUGGGUAAGUAUUUCAUUUAUGUCUUAUGUAUUUAUCGCUGAUGAGGGGAAAAUUCUUAUGAAUUAACUCUGAAAUUGGGACCGAUACGAUAAUGACGGAAUUUUUUAGAAAUUUCUGUCACCUUACUUCGAGACGCAUGUUUAUAGUGAUAAAUUAUGUGGUUAUUGACAAUUUGUCUAUUUUUGGCAUAUUUGGCAUUAGAAUUUUUUUCUUUUGCCCUUGUUUAUAUAUAUAUAUAGGCACAGGCAUGGCUGUAUGGUUCAGAAGUUUGCUUUGCAACUAUGGUUCUAGGUUCAGUCCCACAAGAAAACACCUUCCACAUGUGUCUUUAAUUGGCCCCAGGCCAAUAAAGGCCUUCUGGGUGAAUUUGGUAGAUGGAAAUUGUGUGUGCAUGUGUGUGUGUGCGCACGCGUAUGCAUGUGUGCGAGUGAGUGUGCAUGUGUGUGUACAUGCAUGUGUGUGUUUGUCUCCUACCACUACUUGACAGCCAGUGUUUGUUUGUUUACAUCCCUCUAAUUUGAUAUUUAGGCAAAAAGAGACUAAUAACCAAUAACUGGUGAGGGAUUGAGCAUUUCCACAUUUAUUGUGUUUUUCUUCCUGUUUUCCAUGCAUUCCUUUGUUGUCUUGUGCCACAUUUUAUAAUGCAUGCAUACAUAUAUAUGUAUGCCUGUAUAUGUAUGUAUGUGCAUUGUUCAUGUGUGUGUGUGUGUGUGUGUGCGCGCGCAGACAAUUCAUCAACAGACAAUUCACCAACAGACAAUUCCCACAGGGCCUCAGACUAAACACAGAGGCCUACAUCAAGUGCCUGGAGGAGAUAGUGCUGCCCUGGGUCAAGAGGGUGGCUACUGGAACACUCUCUGUCUGGCAACAGGACUCUCCACUAUACCAUGUCUGUAAGUUGUAUGUCGACAAUGGACUAAGGUAUCUGGUGAUAUGAAGUUUGAAGGAAGACCUGCCUACCUCAGUAAAACUGAUUUCUGAAAGUUCUGUGUAUUAUGUGCUCACCACUCACACAUUGCAUUAAUUCACUCUCACCCUCAAGACCAGUUGAAAGGUCUGUUUCUUGCAAGCUAUUUGGUGACCUCCCUGGUACAUAAAAAAGCAGCCAAAACAAUCUAUAAAGUGUUUGGCUUUAUGAAGGGCAUCUAGCUGUAGAAACCAUGCCAAAGCAGACAGUAGAGCUAGGUGCAGUCCUCUGGCUUGCCAACUCCUAUCAGACCAUCAGACCCAUUCCAGCAUGGAAAACAGACAUUAAACAAUGACGAUGAUGAUAAUGAUGAUGAUGGAGGUGGUGGUGAUGAUGAUGACAAUGAUAUAUUCACUCGUGAAUCUCAUUAUAAACAACAUGGACCCAUUUUCUUCUUAAGAAAAAAUAUAUUUUCAUAUAAAUUAAACAUUGUAUCAUGAAUAGCGAUUGCAAAACUGGUCGAUACAUUAAAAAUUAUACUAUAACCAUGUAAGGGUGCAUAUUUUCCGUUUUUAUUUUUCUUAUAUAUAUAUAUAUAUAUAUAUAUAUAUAUAUAUAUAUGUGUGUGUAUAUGUAUUUGUAUGUAUACACCAAAACACACACUCAUACAUGUAUGUGUGUGUGCAUGCAUCUUCCCAAAACACCUUCCACAAAAAUCUCGAAACAUUUGCAGAGAUGAAGGCAGUUAAUAAAGUUUGCAAAUGUGUUUCAUUCCUGUUUAGACCAAAUUAAGUCAAUAUAAUACUAAAUCUUGCUCAGAUCAGAGUGAGUGUUUUCCCUGAAAAGUCAUUUCAAAGUAUGUAAAGCUGAUUAUAUAGUCUGCUUAUAAAAACAGGAUUUCUUUCUUUCCUUUUAUAUAUAUAUAUAUAUAUUUUUUUUUUUUUAUAGAUUCUUAUCUUUAAAUAAAUUGUCUUGUCUUCAGUAAAACUUGUAGGGUCUCAAAUGCAAAAAGAAAAAGAAAAAAAAGAAACAAACAAACAAGAAAAAUUGAUAUGUAAAUACAAACAUACAGAAAACUGUUAGUGUGAAGCAGUACAGGUGACUGGAGUUAUCUUUCAACAGUGACGUCAAUAUAAAUAGAAACUAUAUAGAGUAUAUCAUCAUCAUCCACAUCAUCAUCAUCAUCAUCAUCAUCACCAUUCACCAUCAUCGUCAUCAUCAUCGUUGUCAUCAUCAUUGUCAUCACCGCCACCAUCAUCAUCAUCAUCUUCAUCAUCAUCAUCACUAUGACUAUCAUCGUCAUCAUCAUUGUCAUCACUGCCACCACCAUUGAUGUCAUCACAAUCACCACCACCACCACCACCAUUGUCAUCAUCGUUGUCUUCAUUGUCGUCAUCAUCAUCAUCAUCCUCAUCAUCACUGCCAUCAUCACCACCACUAUUACCACCACCACCAUGACCAGCACAACCACCACCAUCACUGUCUUCCUCUUCCCCUUCUUCCUCCAUCUCAUUACCCUCAUCAUCAUCAUUAUCAUCACUACCACCACCAUCACCACCACCACCAACCCUACCCUCUAUCCUUGACCCUCACCACUAUCAGUUUAAAGUUCUAAUUCAUGCUGAACUGAAUUUGAUUUCUUUGCAAAUAAAGCAUUUUUCAGUUACAUUGCCUACAAUAGGCAGAGCAAUGCUUCAGAAUUGCUAGAUCAUCAGAUGCAAUUUCCCUGCAAGAUGGUGAUGAUGACAACAAUUAUGAUAUGAUAAUGGCAAUGAUGAUGAUGAUGACAACAAUAAUUAUGAUGACAAGGAUAACAAUUGAGGAUGAUGAUGAUGAUGAUGAUGAUGAUGAUGAUGGCAAUGGCUUUGAUUAUUGUGAUUAUAGCAAUGACAAUGAUGAUAAUACUGCUGCUGCUGCUUCUGAGGAUGAUGAUGAUGAUGAUGAUGAUGAUGAUGAUGAUGAUGACGAUGACAAUAAUGAUAACAAUUACAAUGAUGGGGAGGGGAUUUGUGGUUUGAGUGUGUGUGUGUGUGUGUGUGUGUGUGUGUGUGUGUGUGUGUGUGUGUGUGUGUGUGCAUGUGUGUGGUGUGGUGUGGUGUGGCGUGGUGACAGUGGUGGUGACAAUGAUAUCAGGUAGUAAACUAUAACAAUGCUCUUUCAUUUUAACAGGAAUAAAAACGGUAUAAUACUGUUGAUAUUGAUAUACCUUGACUGGUUUCUGCUACAGGACUGUGACCAAGCUGGAGCACCAUCCUCAAGGGCUUUAGCCGAUUAUAUCAACCCUAGUCUUCAUUUCAGUCCAAUACUUAUUUCAUCAAGACGUAUUUGUCAAACUGCAAGGUAACACAUUGUAAAGGGUUGCAACAAAACCAUCAUUGGUUGUUAUUAACUAGCAUGCAAGCUUACACACAUGUAUAUUUACAAACACAUGCACAUGUAUGCAUACACACAGAAACUCAUACAGAAUGCUUGUUUCUCAACCAUAUGGUUUUAGAUUCAGUUCCACAGCACCGCACCUUCACCAAGUGUCUCUUACAAUAGCCCAGGUUGACCAAAGCCUUGCGAGCGGAUUUGAUGGAUGGAAACUGAAUGAAGCCACAUGAAAAGCACUCAGUCCACUCUGCUGGGUGUUGGUGUUAGCAAAGGCAUCUAGCUAUAAAAACCAUGCCAAAGCAGACACAGAAGUCAGGUGUGUGUGUGUGUGUGUGUGUGUGUGUGUGUGUGCACACGCGUGUGUGUGUGUGUGUAUGUGUGCGUGUGUGUGUGUGUGUGUAUGGGUUUUCGUUCCCCACUACCACUUAACAGCCAGUGCUAUUUGCUUACAUCCCCAUAACUUAGCAGUUUGGCAAAAGAGGUAGAAUAAGUAGAAGGCUUAGAAUAAAAAGAUAAGUACUGGAGUUGAUUUGUUCAACUAAACCCUUCAAGGCAAUGCCACAGUCUAAUGACUAAAACAAGUAAAAGAUAUAUUGUCCAAUAUGUAUCACUUUUGAUAAGACAAUAUAGAGCAAUUUGAGGAAUAUUUAACUAAAAUUCCUUGCAAAUUAGGCAACUGCAUAGAGGUUCCUUUAUUACUUUGUAUAUUUACAUCUUCAAAACAUCACUAUUCUAGCUGUCUCACACUUCACUGCAUUAUAUUUCUACUUGGUUUUAAUCAGUUAAAACUUCAAGAUUGUCUCCCCUAGAAUUCUUUAUCAGAAUUAGUCAUUUAGAUAAUGAUUAGUUCUCAUCACUAAAAAUGUAAUUUUAAUUAACACAAAUUUCUUGGCUUGUUGCAUCACAUAUACUCAUGCCCACUUUACUAAAACAUUUAUAACUUUCAUUCCAAAGCUAUUUGUUUAAGACGUAAAUAUAUAUGUGUGUGUAUGUGUAUGAAUGAGUAUAUAUGUAUAUACAUAUAUGUAUGUAUGUAUGUAUGUAUGUAGGUAUGUAUAUAUGUAUGUAAGUGUGUACAUAUAUGUAUGUAUGUAUGUAUGUAUGUAUGUAUGUAUGUAUGUAUGUAUGUAUGUAUGUAUGCGUGUACAUAUAUGUAUGUAUGUUUGUUUGUAUGUAUGCAUGAAUGUACGUAUUCAUGUAUGUAUAUAUUAUCCUGUUGUUGUAGAAUGAAAUUCAGGGGGUAUAUCCCAAGUUUACUGUAAAAUGCCAAAGGUAAUUGAAAAACUGGUUUCGUAAUCAAUAUUCCUUAUCAGUUCGUUAACGCACUUAAUUAAUCUUGCCAUUCAGUUGAUUAAAUAACAGCUUAUAAUUACAUAAGUGUGUUGUUUAGUUCACACAAAGUUAAACUAAUUUUUAUGUUGGCAAGACCAUGAUGAAUCCUCCAUGUGGUUGCUUGAAUUACUAGAAAUAGCAAACAAAUGACCCUUAAAUCACAAUCUGUAUUUCUAAAGAAAAGACAUAUUAGAUAAUGCAGUCCUUGAUACACCUAAAUAGAUAGGAAAAUUAUGGCUGGAAUGCUCGUUUUUUUUUGUUUUUUUUUAAUGGGUUUGUCAGAUUGAAGGACAAUUCCAAUUACUAUUUAUUUUCAGGGCCUUUUUGUCCCUCUGGUGGAAGGAAGUUAUCCUCCAACCAGAGACAUGAGGUGAAUUCUUACAAAAUCCCUUUUGAAGUAAACCCUUAUGCCUUUAAACAGAAGACGGCAGAGGACAACAACGAUGACAAUGAUGAGGAGGAGGAGUGUUAUGGUCCUGGUUGAAUUGUCUUUGAUCAUAGGUCUACUCAAUCAGAAUUGACUUUGUAAUAAACAACAGCAGCAACAACAACAACAACAACCAAGAGCCAACAAAGAAGCUCCAACUUGAUUCACCCACUUUAGUAUAAAAAACAGUCAAGUCAACCAUCUUAGAAAGGAGUGGAUUGCCAAAGGUUUGGCCAAUGGUAGUCAAACCAGGCAAUGAACUAGGUCUACUACCCAAGACCAGAAACAGCUCUUCUUGCAGGCUUCUUCUUAGUUUCCUUCUUACAAAUUUCGCUCAUAUAACUUUGUUCAACCAAGUACCAGGGUUAAAAAAAAACAUUAUCUGAAGUGACAUACGGUGGAUCUGAACCUAAAACUUCAAGCUUCUUAGCCACAUAACCAUGCCGGAUCCUUGUUCUACUUCAUGAAGCUUCAUCUUGGUCAAAAUUUAUCAAACAGCAGUGACAAUAACAGCAACAUCGAUUUUUAUAUUGGUAGUGAAAGUACAUGAAGAAAUGUGGACUAAUAUUUAGUUUGUUGCAUUUAUGAUUACAAGAUUGGUGUUUUGAUUCCUGAACUGUGAGGUGUGGCGUGUUCUUGCGCAAAACACUUCAUUUCAUGUUGCUCCAGUCCAUGCAGCUGGCAAAUAUGGGUAAUCCUGCAAUGAACUGGUGUCCCAUCCAGGGGGAAGUGUUGUGAUCUCAGUCAUUUAUAUGUGCCAUGGAAACUGGGUUACCAGCCCUGAGUCCUAGGACUCAGGACACUAAUGUCAAGGGGGUUGAUGAUGAUGAUGAUGAUGAUGAUGAUGAUGAUGAAGAUGAUGAUAAUAAUGACAACGCUGACAACACCAAUGAUGAUGAUAACAACAACAAUGAUGAUAUAAACAACAAUGACAAUGAUGAUGAUGAUGACAAUGACACUGACAACAACAAUAACAAUUAUGAUGGUGAUGAUGAUGAUGAUGAUAAUGAUGAUGACAAUGAUAACAGCAAUUAUGUUGAUGACAAUGACAACAAUGAUGACAAUGAUGAUGACAAUGACGACAACAAUUAUGAUGAUGAUGAUGAUGAUGAUGACGAUGACGAUGACAAUUAUGAUGAUGAUGAUGAUAAUGAUGAUGACAAUGAUGCAGUAUUGGCCAAAAUGCCAUUGGUCAUAGAUCUAUUCACACCAGGACUGAUUUGAAAUUAAACAACAACUAAUUUUUGCAAAGGAAGAAGUUCAGUUUGUUGAACAGAUUCUCUAUAAUACCGUUGUACUUAUUUUAUUCCCACAACGGAAAAGGAAAGAUGGUGAUUACCUUGAUGUGAUUUUCAUCAUUACUGAAAGGGUCAAAAAGUAAAUUCUGCUUUAAUUCUAUUAGUCUUGUAUUCAGUUUCAGAUAUUCUUCAAGUUUUAUUAUACACUUUUCAUUAGUGUUCAUCCAAUACACCAUCUCCUCUGUGUUUCAUUUCCAGGUAUCUUAUUUAACACUUUCUGGUCAAAGUUGCAAGCCUUCUGGAAUUCUCUUUCUACCCAUAUUGUUCAAGUUUAACUUAUAUUAAUCCACCCCAAUCAUAACCACCACUGUUUCCUAUUGAUUUUAUGCUGUACUCUCAUGAUAAUAAUAUUUAUUGCAAUUUUGUUGUUUUUGCAUUCAACAACUUGUCAGGAAAUUAAAAGUUAUUCUGAGAUAUAACAACAAGAAUGAAUUAUAAAUAAUUGUUCCUAUUAUUAGAAAAAACAGGCCUCUUCCAAUCUUGUUGGUAAAAUAAAGCAAUACUAAUUAGACAGUGUGUGGUUUCUGUGAAUACAAAUUUGAGAAAUUUCUUUGGAAUUUACAAGAUUAGUUCACAUUAAAUAUACAUAAAGGAGUUUGUAAAAAUGUACACACAUUAGUCAAAUAAUUUGUUUUAGAAAAAGUGCUAUAGAAAAUGAACAUUUUAUAUUUUACAAAGUCAAUUGGAUGCGUGUAGAAAAUGUUCAUGGCAAUAGAAUAAUUUCUGUUGUAGAAUAAUUUUUUUUUGCUAAAAGGCCAUCACUAAAUAGAGAAAAAAAAUCAGAUAUAUGUACAUAUAUUAAUCUUGUAGAAAUCAAUCUAUCUAGGCUUGACCAAAGUUAACAAGAGCCAAAACAAAUAGCAGCUAUACUUCUGUUUAGAUAACCAUAAGUUAACUCAACAGAAUACUAACUGCUGAUUGGUUUCAAAAAAUCACAUGACAACGAUGAAGCAAAUAUAUUAACCAUAGAAAGAAUCAUUAUAGUACUGACAGAAAUCUAGAGAAUGGUGCCAUCCUGGCAGACAGGUUUUGUAGAAGUGAAUGGUCUUGCAUAAAAUUCAGAUGAGUUAAAAUGAGCUAUGUAUGAUAGGCAUAAUCUCUCAUAUUUGUGUGUGUGUGUGUGUGUGUGUGUGUGUGUGUGUGUGUGUGUGUGUAAUAUAUAAUAUAUAUAUAUACAUAUAUAAUCUACAUAUAUAUAUAUAUAAUAUAAAAUUAUAUAUAUAUAUGUAUAUUAUAUAUAUGUAUAUUAUAUAUGUAUAUAUUAUUAUAUAUGUGUGUAUAUAUAUAAUAUUAUAUAUGAAUAUAUAUAUACAUAAGUAUAUUAUAUAUAUAUAUAUAUAUGUAUAUUAUAAUAUAUAUAUAGUUAUAUAUAUAUAUAAUAUUAUAUAGGUGUAUAUAUAUAUAAUAUUAUAUAUGAAUAUAUAUACAUAUGUAUAUUAUAUAUAUAUAUGUAUAUUAUAAUAUAUAUAUAUAUAUAUAUAUAUAUAUAUUUGUAGAUUAUAUAUAUGUAUAUUAUAAUAUAUAUAUAUAUUUGUAGAUUAUAUAUAUAUAUAUAUAUAUAUAUAUGUGUGUGUGUGUGUAUAUGUGUAUAUAUAUAUAUAUAUAUGUAAUUUAUAUAUGUAUAUGUAUAUUAUAUAUAAAUAUAGUAUAUUAUAUAUAUCAUAUAUAUAUAUAUGUAUAUUAUAUAUAUAUAUGUAUAUAUAUAUAAAUAUAGUAUAUUAUAUAUAUCAUAUAUAUAUAUAUAUAUAUGUAUAUUAUAUAUAUAUAUAUGUAUAUAUAUUAUAUAUAUAUAUGUGUAUAUUAUAUAUAUGUGUAUAUUAUAUAUAUAUAUAUAUAUAUAUAUAUUAUAUAUAUAUGUGUGUGUAUUAGCUAUAUAUAUAUGUAUAUAUAUGUAUAUUAUAUAUAUAUGUGUGUGUAUUAGUAUAUAUAUAUAUAUAUAUAUACAUAUAUAUACACACACACACACACACACACACACACACACACACACACACACACACACACACACAUACACACACACACACAUAUAUAUAUAUACAGAUCACGUAUGUGUACAUCUCUUCUCUAUAUUAUAAAUCUGAAAUGCGAAAAGUUUGUUUGUCUGGUUUUGGCAUUGAGAACGGGUUAAAGGCCACUAGAUCCUGUCGGAUUGACUCCAAACUUUACAGGGACAUGUAAAAUGAGGUGAGGAUGCGAGUGGGCUAGGUUAGAAAUCCCUAUCUAAAAGAUGUCGUUGCUAGGGCCAAAAAUGCACUUUGACAAGUCUACUCUCAUUCUUUUAUGUAUCUGUCUUCCUCUGUCACUCACUCUCUUUCUUCCCUUUCCAUCACUUUCUAUAUAUAACGUCGUUUAACAGCGUCUAACUCCCCUUCACUUUCUCUUUAUAAUGUCGUCAAACAGCGUUCUAUAUCUCCCCCUCCCCGCCUUCGACAGCGCUUUCACACUCUCUCUCUCUCUACGUUUGUCUGCAUUCAUAGAGAGAAUUAUUAUCGCCACCACACAAUCAUAAAAACAAAUAUUAUGAAUCAGAUAUUUAUUGGGUUAAUUUAUAUGUGUGUGUGUAUGUGUUCUAUAUUUAAAUAUGUAUAUAUAAUGUAUAUAUACAAAGUGUAUAUAUCUGUAUUUAUGUAUAUUGAACUUUUUAAUACGUUUUGAUAGUUAUAUAUAUAUUUUUUUUAAAUUAUAAAUAUAAAUUAAUAAUUUUAAUUUUAAAUUUAAAUAAUUUAAUUUUUUAAAUUUAUAUUUUAUAUAUUUUGUAUAUUAUAUUUUUAUUUUUAUGUUUUGGUUUAUGUUUUUCACUGUUUGAUUUGCCUAAUAGUGGUUUUAUCUCUAAUUUAAUUUAUAUAUAUAUAUCAUCAUCAAUUUUUAGCAACUAGUGCUUCUCUAUGAAUGAAACAAUGAGUAUGGAUAAUAUUUGGAUUUUGUUUUUGUGCGAUUGGGAAAAAGCAUUUAAGACAUCCUGUCAUUGCAGGGGCACCAUCUGUACAAAUGCCAACACAGUUUUUCCAGUUCAAUCCACAAUACUCUAAAUAUGAAUUUAAAACAUCAAAUACAUCUUGUCCUUUUCUUGUUUCAGGCAACUCUUUGCAACACAGGACGUCUUCUACAAUAGCUUCAUCAUUAAUAAAACGAACAAAUACAAGGAGCUGUGAUUUACCAGUGAUGUCUGUACUCUCAUCAACUUGAAGUGCAAACAACUUAUGUUUCAGUAUUUUUGACUUAAUAUUGCACUCAAUGUCUCCUGACAUGUCUUGAAUGCACCUACUUAUUAUGUUGUCAGAAAGUGGAAUUUUAUUUAGCUCUGAUACGGCAUCCUCUCCAAACAUUAUCCUCACUAUUUCCUGGCAUGCAGGUAAAAUUACAGUUUCAGCGAUGGUAUGAGAUUUCACUUUUCAUGCAACUAUAUCCACCACAGCAUAACUUACUUCUUGUCCUUUGUCCCUCAACUUGAACUUUUUGGCAAAUAUAGAAACGUGCCUUUUAUUAAAUGCCAAUUCUCUUUUAAAAUAUUGUUCAUUUUUGCCUGACAACUCUGGAUGUGUCAUUUCAGUUUGAAUGGUGCCAUAGCACUAUUAGCCAGCUUCUCCCCAGAAACAGUACACAAAGGUGAAGGGCAGUCUGGGUUUCCAGUCCAAGUAAAUCCCAGAGCUAUGUAGUUUUCACAAUAUUGACAAACUUUUAGUUGCAGGUUGAUUCCAUCAUUUCUUGGUAAUUUCAACGAGGCAGCAUCACUGGCAGUGGCUGCAGCUUCAACAGACUGCCUCAGACCCUGCCUCUCUUCAUCUGUAUCUAACUUACGUUUUUUCAGAAAUCUAUCCAUACUUGUAAGGCUGUAAGCAGAAUUGUAUAUACAUAUAAAAGCAAACCUAAUAGUGGCAGGACAAAAAUGAUCUUUAAAGUGUAGCGAGUUUAAUGAUGUAAAAUUUAGCUUUUUUUAUUAAUGUUUUUUAGUAAUA